GACGAACGCUGGCGGCGUGCCUAAUACAUGCAAGUAGAACGCACAGUUUAUACCGUAGCUUGCUACACCAUAGACUGUGAGUUGCGAACGGGUGAGUAACGCGUAGGUAACCUGCCUGGUAGCGGGGGAUAACUAUUGGAAACGAUAGCUAAUACCGCAUAAUAUUGAUUAUUGCAUGAUAAUUGAUUGAAAGAUGCUAUUGCAUCACUACCAGAUGGACCUGCGUUGUAUUAGCUAGUAGGUGAGGUAACGGCUCACCUAGGCGACGAUACAUAGCCGACCUGAGAGGGUGAUCGGCCACACUGGGACUGAGAUACGGCCCAGACUCCUACGGGAGGCAGCAGUAGGGAAUCUUCGGCAAUGGACGAAAGUCUGACCGAGCAACGCCGCGUGAGUGAAGAAGGUUUUCGGAUCGUAAAGCUCUGUUGUAAGAGAAGAACGGGUGUGAGAGUGGAAAGUUCACACUGUGACGGUAUCUUACCAGAAAGGGACGGCUAACUACGUG
Molecule: ribosomal RNA, 505 nt
Filed under: uncultured bacterium
Lineage: Bacteria
Description: partial 16S ribosomal RNA
Rfam family: Bacterial small subunit ribosomal RNA
Source: RNAcentral